Molecule: long non-coding RNA, 281 nt
Filed under: Elaeis guineensis (African oil palm)
Lineage: Eukaryota; Viridiplantae; Streptophyta; Magnoliopsida; Arecales; Arecaceae
Description: long non-coding RNA (EGUI_LNC071216)
Source: RNAcentral
UCGCAGUUAAACAAUGUUAGCCUCGAAUCUCUAGCCUGCAUCCUUGAAUCCAAUCAUUUGACCAGAAUAAAUUAUAAAGAUUGGCUAAAAAAUCUCAGGAUUAUCCUGACUUUUGAAAAACUAGGUCAUCUACUCAAUUAAAAAUCUCUAGUAUUAUCAAACCUUUCUACUACUGAGCAAAGAGCUGUUUAUGAAAAGUGGAUGGAUGAAGACAGUCGGGUCAAGUGCUACGUGCUGGCAUCUAUGUCAAAUGAGUUGCAAAGUUAGCAUGAGCAUAUGCC